GCGGCCGAUUAGGUAGUUGGUUAGGUAAUGGCUUACCAAGCCGUUGAUCGGUACGGGUUGUGAGAGCAAGAGCCCGGAGAUGGAACCUGAGACAAGGUUCCAGGCCCUACGGGGUGCAGCAGGCGCGAAACCUCCGCAAUGUGAGAAAUCGCGACGGGGGGAUCCCAAGUGCCAUUCUUAACGGGAUGGCUUUUCAUUAGUGUAAAGAGCUUUUGGAAUAAGGGCUGGGCAAGACCGGUGCCAGCCGCCGCGGUAACACCGGCAGCUCUAGUGGUAGCAGUUUUUAUUGGGCCUAAAGCGUCCGUAGCCGGUUUAAUAAGUCUCUGGUGAAAUCCUGUAGCUUAACUGUGGGAAUUGCUGGAGAUACUAUUAGACUUGAGACCGGGAGAGGUUAGAGGUACUCCCAGGGUAGAGGUGAAAUUCUGUAAUCCUGGGAGGACCGCCUGUUGCGAAGGCGUCUAACUGGAACGGUUCUGACGGUGAGGGACGAAAGUUAGGGGCGCGAACCGGAUUAGAUACCCGGGUAGUCCUAACCGUAAACGAUGCGGACUUGGUGUUGGGGUGGCUUUGAGCUGCUCCAGUGCCGAAGGGAAGCUGUUAAGUCCGCCGCCUGGGAAGUACGGUCGCAAGACUGAAACUUAA
RNAcentral lists this ribosomal RNA (642 nucleotides) under uncultured archaeon. Its description in RNAcentral is "bacterial SSU rRNA". It matches the Rfam family "Archaeal small subunit ribosomal RNA", at positions 217 to 859 of the family's 1478-position model. The record is from RNAcentral.